GUUUUAAACAGAUUAUUAAAAUCAUGUAUUAAUUAAUCAGAAAAAAUUUUUAAAGGAUGAUAUGAUUUUUUGGGGCCGACCCAGCAGCACGAAAAGGGAUUGCUCCCUCCUUUACUACCGAACCAUUUUAAAGCCCCAAAAGUACAAAACUGUCAAAGCCAGCACAAUGGGAAGAAGCUUCAAUGAUGAAGACUCACUUCAGUAAUGAUCCUUCCGCAGGUUCACCUACGGAAA
Molecule: unclassified non-coding RNA, 234 nt
Filed under: uncultured fungus
Lineage: Eukaryota; Fungi
Description: sequence contains ITS1, 5.8S rRNA gene
Source: RNAcentral